This is a non-coding RNA of Triticum aestivum (bread wheat), 85 nucleotides long. The record is from Rfam. NCBI's taxonomy places the organism in Eukaryota, Viridiplantae, Streptophyta, Magnoliopsida, Poales, Poaceae.
UGGCUGUAGUCAAACUAACAAGGAAGGAAAUCUGGUCGGCCUGCCCGCUUCAAUGGGCAACCCGCUUACCAACCUUCCUACAUGU